GUCUAUAUGAAGUUAUAUAAAGUCUAGCCUGCCCAUUGAAUAAAUUUAAAAGGCCGCAGUAUAUUAACUGUGCAAAGGUAGCAUAAUCAUUAGUUUUUUAAUUAAAGGCUCGUAUGAAUGGCUGGACAAAGAAUGAUCUGUUUCUAUUUUUAAUUUUGAAUUUAACUUUUAAGUGAAAAGGCUUAAAUAAUUUUAAGGGACGAUAAGACCCUAUAAAUCUUUAUACUAGAUUAUUUUUUAAUUGAUUAAUAUUGUAAAUAUAAUAGUAAAAUAAUGUGUAUUCUGUUGGGGUGAUGAGAAUAUAACAAAUAACUGUUCUAAAAUUAAAACAAAAUUAUUUGUAAUAAUAAUAGAUCCUUUAUUGAGAUUAAAAGUUUAAGUUACUUUAGGGAUAACAGCGUUAUUUUUUUUGAGAGUUCUUAUCGAAAAAAAAGUUUGCGACCUCGAUGUUGAAUUAAAAUUUCUUUGUGGUGCAGUUAUUACAAAAGAGAGUCUGUUCGACUUUU
RNAcentral lists this ribosomal RNA (506 nucleotides) under Trapezionida squarrosa. RNAcentral's name for it is "Munida squarrosa partial large subunit ribosomal RNA". It matches the Rfam family "Bacterial large subunit ribosomal RNA", at positions 1831 to 2589 of the family's 2925-position model. The record is from RNAcentral. Lineage: Eukaryota; Metazoa; Arthropoda; Malacostraca; Decapoda; Munididae.